GGGUGAGUAAUACAUCGGAACGUGUCCAGUAGUGGGGGAUAACCAGUCGAAAGAUUGGCUAAUACCGCAUACGAUCUACGGAUGAAAGCGGGGGACCGCAAGGCCUCGCGCUAUCGGAGCGGCCGAUGUCGGAUUAGCUAGUUGGCGGGGUAAUGGCCCACCAAGGCGACGAUCCGUAGCUGGUCUGAGAGGACGACCAGCCACACUGGAACUGAGACACGGUCCAGACUCCUACGGGAGGCAGCAGUGGGGAAUUUUGGACAAUGGGGGAAACCCUGAUCCAGCCAUGCCGCGUGAGUGAAGAAGGCCUUCGGGUUGUAAAGCUCUUUCGGCGGGGACGAAACGGUUCGUGCCAACACCACGGAUCAAUGACGGUACUCGCAGAAGAAGCACCGGCUAACUACGUGCCAGCAGCCGCGGUAAUACGUAGGGUGCAGGCGUUAAUCGGAAUUACUGGGCGUAAAGCGUGCGCAGGCGGCCUCUUAAGUCAGAUGUGAAAUCCCCGGGCUUAACCUGGGAACUGCGUUUGAAACUGGGAGGCUAGAGUGUGGAAGAGGGGGGUGGAAUUCCAGGCGUAGCAGUGAAAUGCGUAGAGAUCUGGAGGAACACCGAUGGCGAAGGCAGCCCCCUGGGCUGACACUGACGCUCAUGCACGAAAGCGUGGGGAGCAAACAGGAUUAGAUACCCUGGUAGUCCACGCCCUAAACGAUGUCAACUGGUUGUCGGGGAAGUUAUUCCUUGGUAACGAAGCUAACGCGUGAAGUUGACCGCCUGGGGAGUACGGCCGCAAGGUUAAAACUCAAAGGAAUUGACGGGGACCCGCACAAGCGGUGGAUUAUGUGGAUUAAUUCGAUGCAACGCGAAAA
This 866-nucleotide ribosomal RNA is filed under the name uncultured bacterium. RNAcentral's name for it is "bacterial SSU rRNA". It matches the Rfam family "Bacterial small subunit ribosomal RNA", at positions 104 to 967 of the family's 1533-position model. The record is from RNAcentral.